Solanum tuberosum (potato) is the source of this 374-nucleotide long non-coding RNA. RefSeq lists it as uncharacterized. Lineage: Eukaryota; Viridiplantae; Streptophyta; Magnoliopsida; Solanales; Solanaceae. The transcript has 3 exons. The record is from RefSeq and is a predicted model, not a curated record.
GGCAAAGUUGUGAGAUAUUUUGAGGACAACGUGUUGGUGAGCUCGGAUAGUGAUUUGGAGUCCCCGUUUGAGCGGGGCAGCGUUUCGAGGACGUUCGGAAAGGGAAAGCUCCGGAGAAGUGAUUUUGGAGCACGUGUGAUUGGCCUACAGGUCCGGGCACUAGUAGCCAGCGUUGAUCGAGCUUGGAGCAGACUGAUCCGGAGACUGGAGUGAGCACACGACGCUUUGUACUAUUUCAGUCUCCAUCUGUAUAUUUAGACUUGUCUUUUACCUUUCGAGACAGUCCAGUCUAUGUUGUCCAUUUUUGGGACUUAUAUACUCAUUUUGUUAGUAGCUCUGUACUAGUGACUUCCAGGUUCUGGGAGGGAUCUUUA